AAUGGAUUGUCCCAAUCCCUGCUCGUGGGUUUUCCAAUGUCCCAAUUUUAUGCUUGUUGUUAGGACUUAUAAAAGCUUACUGGGUUUGUUUUGAAGACAAGGGAAAAAAUAACAUUACGCUAUUUUAAAUGCCUGCAACUAUUUCAAAUAUGACCCAAGGCAGUAAAAAUGCCAUAUUUCCCAAACCACAAACCCCACUCCUUGUUAAAAUCCAAUUGCCAUCUGAGUGUGGGAUGAAGAGUCAGGAUGCCAAACCCUGAGUAUCACACAUGUGAUCUUUCUUUGGGGGAAAUCCUGUGAAAUACGGCUGUGUCCACGACUUUCAUUUCUGCGUUUCACAGCCGAACUUCCUAAAACUGCUGAAAAACCAUACUCCAGAGGUACAGCUUCUAGACCCCCACUACAGCUUGACCUGAAGGAACAGGGCUUGGUGGAGAAUGAAAAGGGAAUGCAAAUCAGUUCUGAGAGCUCUCCUUUGAGAUAUCAGAGAUGGCAAAACACAGUGCACAGAAGUGGCUGAUGGAGCAUCUAUGGCACAGAGAAGGCACUCACUUUAUCUGGAGUCACACAGCAGGCCAGUCCUGGAGCCAGAAAACAGACAAGUCUGAUUUCCAAAGGCAACCAAGCCAUGGCAGAAACUCAAUGUGUUCUUCUCUGAAGGAUAAAACAAGUGAACUGUAGAAGAGCGUUCAGAAAAACCAAGGGUGAGAUUCUCUAAAAGAAGUGCCAGUAUGAAAAAUUUUUCACCAUCAUCCUAACGAAAGCCCUCUUAUAUGGGUAAUAUAAGUCCUCAACUGCUUUUCUGAAUCUCAUCACUGAUGGUUUCGCAGAAUGUAUCCUUUGAAAAUUUGCUUUGCGU
Molecule: long non-coding RNA, 859 nt
Filed under: Delphinapterus leucas (beluga whale)
Lineage: Eukaryota; Metazoa; Chordata; Mammalia; Artiodactyla; Monodontidae
Description: lncRNA (ENSDLEG00000008031.1)
Source: RNAcentral